CGGAUCCGGCUCUGGGGACUCGGGGUCCGUGGGCAGUGGGGACUAUGACUAUUAUUGUUAUUAAUAUUAUCACUAUUAUUAUUGUCAUUACUAUUAUUAUUUGGUGUGUUCUCUGCACUGCCCCUGUGCGCAUUUGUAUGUAGGCAGGUUUGUGUGUGUUUGUGUGUUGCUGUUUCUGUGGCCAGGUUACAGGCAUCUUCAGGCCUGAGGGGCGUGGCCUAGCUCGAGGACUGGCCACACCCGAAGCCCUUGCCACACACCUGCUCCUCAUCAGGGCUCGUCGGUGGAACUAUUUAGAGGAGUGAUGGAGCUUCCACCGACGCUGGAUUAUUGCGUUUUGACUUCACGUCAGUCUUCAAUCAUUGUCAGAGAGAGUGAGUGUAUGCCUGCUUGGAUUAAGUGUUUAACGACUGCCUCUAUGGUUUUCCCUCAGGAGGAACGUGGGACGAGGCAGAGCAGUGAGCACAGGGAGUGCAGAGAGCACUACACUGGAACUUGUGGAAAGAAGACACAACACGGGAGUCUGGGACACUGGGGAGUUUAUUGUUGCUUGCUUCACCAUCCUUUGUAAAUAAACACUGUUGCACUGAAGAGUCCGGCGUUUGGGUCCUAUUUCCCCAUCUCCCCACGGUCUGUCUGCCAGACCGUGACAGAAUAAUCCAGCCACCAUGGACCCAGCGGACUCAACGGAGAGUUUUAGGAGAAAGGUGACAGACAAAGUUUAUCGUCUGUGUGACCUGUGGCUGGAAGCGCACGAGGAGAGUUUACGUCGCGCUGUAGAGAAGCGACUGAAAGAGACGCAGUCUUGUUUCCCUUGGGUAUGGGAUACGCUCUGCCCGAUCGUCGUGGACUUUCUAGUUAACACGCUCCACCUCCACUCUCCUACUCAGGCUGCUUUUCUGCCCGACCAGCUGGUGGACCCGCAGCCUGACACGCCGGCCCCGGCAUCGUUAAAGAAGCGACGCUCGCGCCGCCGGCGCUCCUCACCGCAGCCGGAUUCACGGACUUCACUACAGCCGGCUGUGGUGAGUUAUAAGGACAAUUUUUCACUUUCCACUCCAUCUGUUUGUUUACCUGGGAACUGUGAGACCGCCAAGCCUGUUACUCGGGCAGCCGCCCUGUCUAUAGCUGAGCGGUCUGCAGUUCAAUCAUCUACCCCACCUACAGCAGCCUCCAUUCCACUACCCACUCCAGCAGCUCUGAAUGCUGCUGGGAGUAAAAUGAACUCCAUUAGUGUGUUACAGCCUUUCCCUGUUAUGAUGGAAGUAGAAGGGGAAGAAAGAAAGAAGAGGGUAGAAAGGAUCAAGGAGGUAGAGAGUGUUGCUAAAGAUUGUAUCUCGUUGCCUUUAUCCAAACUGAUUGCGGGCACUGCACAGCCCACGCCACAGCACCCCGGCCCGGCCGUGCGCCCUGUGCAGCUGCCAUUAGUACCGCCUCGGCCUGAGGUCUUUACACCUCCCUUAGCCUCACUGUCUGCUGCUGCCACCCUACUGACUGCUUCUCUCUCUGUUCAACCGAUUGCUUUUGCUGUGCCACCUUACACUUCACCUGCAGCUCAGUUAGCCGCUCAAGCACCUGCAGCUCAGUUAGCCGCUCAAGCACCUGCAGCUCAGUUAGCCGCUCAAGCACCUGCAGCUCAGUUAGCCGCUCAAGCACCUGCAGCUCCACUUCCUCAACAAAUAUCAUUACACUCAGUAGCUCAGUCUCUAGUACUGUCACCUGAUCUAUCGCUAGCACCGUUAGCUGCCCAGCCAGAAGCUCCGUUAGCUGCCCAGCCAGAAGCUCCGUUAGCUGCCCAGCCAGAAGCUCCGUUAGCUGCCCAGCCAGAAGCUCCGUUAGCUGCCCAGCCAGAAGCUCCGUUAGCCGCUCAGCAGCCACCUUUAGCUCCGUUAGCCGCUCAGCAGCCACCUUUAGCUCCGUUAGCCGCUCAGCAGCCACCUUUAGCUCCGUUAGCCGCUCAGCAGCCACCUUCUCCACCACUGCUUUCAUCUCACAUUCAGUUAUCCAUAGCUCAGUCAGCCACUCAUCUUCACCCUCGGCCAGGGGUCCCAAUUGCCUCUGGUCCUGCAUCUGCUCCAGCUGGAGGGCUCGAGCAGCCCGUCCAGCCGGAAGUUUCGUCUGCUGGGGGUUCGGGAGAACCCAGCCAGCAUCCUGCCUCGUCGGCUGGAGGGCCUGAGGAGCCCGUCCAGCCCGAAAUUUCGUCUGCUGGGGGUUCGGGAGAACCCAGCCAGCAUCCUGCCUCGUCGGCUGGAGGGCCCGAGUCCCCUGUCCAGCCUUAUGCCACGUCUGCUGGUGGGUCCGAGGAGCCCACCCAGCAUCACACCUCGUUAGCUGAGGGUCCUGGUGGACCCAGACAGCACAUCCUUCCGUCUGCUGGCAGUCCGGGGAGGUCUGUUCAGCCGUCACCUGCUGAAUCAUCCCCCGUGACAUCUACAUCACCGCCUGCAGCAUCCACCUCACCGCCUGCAGCUUCAUCUCCUUCACCAUCCACAUCACCUGCUCAACCAUCAUCUUCGCCGCCUGAUCAGGAGCUCUGCGAGCCGAAGUGGGAGCUCGGCGAGCCGCAACAGGAGAGAGCGCCGCCUGAUCAGGAGCUCUGCGAGCCGCAGCAGGGGCGCGGCGAGCGGGAGGAGCCCGCGCCGCCUGAUCAGGAGCUCUGCGAGCCGCAGCAGGAGCGCGGCGAGCGGGAGGAGCCCGCACCGCCUGAUCAGGAGCUCUGCGAGCCGAAGUGGGAGCUCGGCGAGCCGCAACAGGAGAGAGCGCCGCCUGAUCAGGAGCUCUGCGAGCCGCAGCAGGGGCGCGGCGAGCGGGAGGAGCCCGCACCGCCUGAUCAGGAGCUCUGCGAGCCGAAGUGGGAGCUCGGCGAGCCGCAACAGGAGAGAGCGCCGCCUGAUCAGGAGCUCUGCGAGCCGCAGCAGGGGCGCGGCGAGCGGGAGGAGCCCGCACCGCCUGAUCAGGAGCUCUGCGAGCCGAAGUGGGAGCUCGGCGAGCCGCAACAGGAGAGAGCGCCGCCUGAUCAGGAGCUCUGUGAGCCGGAGCAGGAAUUCGGCGAGCGGGAGGAGCGGCUACCAUCAAGAGAGGGGCUCGGCGGGUCGGAGAAGCGCGCACCGCCGUCGGAGGUCGACGUGCAGGAUGUAUCUUCACGUCCAGCGCGCCGUCCACGUCCAGCCGCCCGGCCGCCGCGUCCACGUCCAGCCGCCCGGCCGCCGCGUCCACGUCCAGCGCGCCGUCCACGUCCAGCGCGCCGUCCACGUCCAGCCCCCGGCCGCCGCGUCCACGUCCAGCGCGCCGGCCGCCGCGUCCAGCCGCCCGGCCGCCGGGUCCUGCACAGUCAGUACAUCAGGAAUCGUGGCCGCAGCGCCGCCGUCACCGGACCCGGGGCGAGCCGCCGGAGGAGCAGCACCGCCGUCACCGGACCCGGGGCAGGCCGCCGGAACUGUUUCGCCGUUGCUGCCGGACCCGUGGCCGCCCGCCAGAACUGCAGCGCUGCCACCACAGGACCAGAGGUAGGCCGCCUGAACUCUUUGAUAGUAGUUGCAGGUCACCUGAACUGUGUUUCUGCUGCUGUCGAACCCGAAACAGGAUGCCUGACUUUACUUACCUGCAUUGCCGGCCAUCGGGUCGGCCGCCUGAACUGUUUUGCUCCCGCAAUGGUAACUUGGGGGGGUUAUUGAACUGUUUUGGGCCUCCGCUGGAGUCGCGGUAGGGCCUCUGGGACUUUUUUGUGAGUGACAGUUUGGUCAUUUGGGGUUGGUUCCAGCCCUCCGUCCUGUUGCCCCCGCCGCCCGCCCUGGGUGGUUGUGUUGUGGUUUUUUUUUUUGUUUUGGGUCGUCGGGAGCCGACCCUAGAGGGGGGUACUGUCACGGAUCCGGCUCUGGGGACUCGGGGUCCGUGGGCAGUGGGGACUAUGACUAUUAUUGUUAUUAAUAUUAUCACUAUUAUUAUUGUCAUUACUAUUAUUAUUUGGUGUGUUCUCUGCACUGCCCCUGUGCGCAUUUGUAUGUAGGCAGGUUUGUGUGUGUUUGUGUGUUGCUGUUUCUGUGGCCAGGUUACAGGCAUCUUCAGGCCUGAGGGGCGUGGCCUAGCUCGAGGACUGGCCACACCCGAAGCCCUUGCCACACACCUGCUCCUCAUCAGGGCUCGUCGGUGGAACUAUUUAGAGGAGUGAUGGAGCUUCCACCGACGCUGGAUUAUUGCGUUUUGACUUCACGAGGAACGUGGGACGAGGCAGAGCAGUGAGCACAGGGAGUGCAGAGAGCACUACACUGGAACUUGUGGAAAGAAGACACAACACGGGAGUCUGGGACACUGGGGAGUUUAUUGUUGCUUGCUUCACCAUCCUUUGUAAAUAAACACUGUUGCACUGAA
Long non-coding RNA from Oreochromis niloticus (Nile tilapia), 4368 nucleotides. RefSeq annotates it as proline-rich protein 36. The record is from RefSeq and is a predicted model, not a curated record. The transcript has 2 exons. NCBI's taxonomy places the organism in Eukaryota, Metazoa, Chordata, Actinopteri, Cichliformes, Cichlidae.